GGGGGAGGGCCGUCAGCCAUGAAACAAACACUGUGCUGCUGCCGCUUCGUCCUAUGACUCCAACACUGACACAUUUAUCAGAAGGAUGGAUUCAGCUGACGAUUUGGACGAAGACGAACUUCUGGACUUCAACGUUCAGAUGAGCAUUCAGGAGUCGUGUCAUCUAAUGGGACCAGGGAGGAGUGAAGCUUUGAAGCUUGCGUUGGCCAUCAAACAAGGUAAAGAGUCAAAUGCUGGUGUGGUUAGAAAUCCAAACGGGCCACAGUGUUAACAUCAAUAAACUGUUUUCAUCAAAAUACAUAAUUAAAGACAAGGAUGUAUUGAGUCCAUAGUUGAGACUGACUCUCAGUGGAGCCAGAUGCAUUUACAAAUGUAAAAAAAAAUACCGACACUUCCUGAGGCACCACCAUCAUCUAAACACCAAAUGAGGAAAUAUCUUUUGAAUCAGAACCUGCUGGAAGUAGCCAUCAGAAGAUGGGUACACUGUGGUCAUAAAGGGAU
Non-coding RNA from Epinephelus lanceolatus (giant grouper), 501 nucleotides. The record is from RefSeq and is a predicted model, not a curated record. NCBI's taxonomy places the organism in Eukaryota, Metazoa, Chordata, Actinopteri, Perciformes, Serranidae.